Molecule: ribosomal RNA, 253 nt
Filed under: uncultured bacterium
Lineage: Bacteria
Description: partial 16S ribosomal RNA
Rfam family: Bacterial small subunit ribosomal RNA
Source: RNAcentral
UACAGAGGCCUCGAGCGUUAGGCGGAAUCACUGGGCUUAAAGCGUGUGUAGGCGGACUUCUAAGUCCCUUGUGAAAUCCCACGGCUUACCCGUGGAACUGCUGGGUAUACUGGUUGUCUUGAGCCACUUAGGGGCUACCGGAACAAAUGGUGGAGCGGUGAAAUGCGUAGAUAUCAUUUGGAACGCCAAUGGUGAAAACAGGUAGCUGGGAGUGUGCUGACACUGAGACACGAAAGCCAGGGGAGCAAACGGG